GGGGAAUUUUGGACAAUGGGCGAAAGCCUGAUCCAGCAAUGCCGCGUGUGUGAAGAAGGCCUUCGGGUUGUAAAGCACUUUUGUCCGGAAAGAAAUCCUCUGGGUUAAUACCUCGGGGGGAUGACGGUACCGGAAGAAUAAGCACCGGCUAACUACGUGCCAGCAGCCGCGGUAAUACGUAGGGUGCAAGCGUUAAUCGGAAUUACUGGGCGUAAAGCGUGCGCAGGCGGUUUUGUAAGACGGAUGUGGAAUCCCCGGGCUUAACCUGGGAACUGCAUUCGUGACUGCAAGGCUAGAGUAUGGCAGAGGGGGGUAGAAUUCCACGUGUAGCAGUGAAAUGCGUAGAGAUGUGGAGGAAUACCGAUGGCGAAGGCAGCCCCCUGGGCCAAUACUGACGCUCAUGCACGAAAGCGUGGGGAGCAAACA
Molecule: ribosomal RNA, 426 nt
Filed under: uncultured bacterium
Lineage: Bacteria
Description: bacterial SSU rRNA
Rfam family: Bacterial small subunit ribosomal RNA
Source: RNAcentral